AUGAUGGCGGCGAGGGUGGGCUUCGAGCGCAUAGCCUUCUUCUGCUCCUGGUUGAGCGUCUUGCCGGCGGCGACCGCCUCCUCCAUCUACGCGAUGCGGUCCUGCUUCUUGCGCAGCGACUUUACCACACACCGCAAUAGGGCACGGCCAUGGCGACAGUGCGCCGCCAAGGUCGACGACCGCAGCCCCGGCAGCCAGGAUGUGGGGCCGCUCCGGGCAGUGCAUAGACGACGCCGGGGAGACCAAGCGGAGGCGUGGGAGACAGACGUGUUGAAUCAGCUUGGUGGAGGAGGUGGUGUGGGCUGA
This 306-nucleotide ribosomal RNA is filed under the name Triticum aestivum (bread wheat). Its description in RNAcentral is "partial small subunit ribosomal RNA". The record is from RNAcentral. Lineage: Eukaryota; Viridiplantae; Streptophyta; Magnoliopsida; Poales; Poaceae.